Non-coding RNA from Parelaphostrongylus tenuis, 73 nucleotides. Lineage: Eukaryota; Metazoa; Nematoda; Chromadorea; Rhabditida; Metastrongylidae. The record is from the annotation of a GenBank genome assembly.
GCGUCGGUAGUGCAAUGGUUCAGCACGCGGUCCCGGAUAGAUUGAAAUCUGGGUUCGAAUUCCAUCUGACGUA